GCCGGGCACAGUGGCAUGUGCCUGUAGUCCCAGCUACUCAGGAGGCUGAGGCUGGAGAAUCGCUUGAGUCCAGGAGUUCUGGGCUGUAGUGUGCAUGCCGAUGGGGUGUCUGCACUCAGUUCGGCAUCAAUAUGGUGACCUCCCAGGAGCGGGGUACCACCAGGUUGCCUAAGGAGGGGUGAACCAGCCCAGGUCAAACACGGAGCAGGUCAAAACUCCGAUGCUGAUCAGUAGUGGGAUCACACUUGUGAAUACCCACUGCACUCCAGCCUGGGCAACAUAGCGAGAUCCCAUCUCU
This 298-nucleotide signal recognition particle RNA is filed under the name Aotus nancymaae (Ma's night monkey). Its description in RNAcentral is "Metazoan signal recognition particle RNA (ENSANAG00000005950.1)". It matches the Rfam family "Metazoan signal recognition particle RNA". Rfam says of the family: The signal recognition particle (SRP) is a universally conserved ribonucleoprotein. It is involved in the co-translational targeting of proteins to membranes. Lineage: Eukaryota; Metazoa; Chordata; Mammalia; Primates; Aotidae. The record is from RNAcentral.